This is a long non-coding RNA of Vespa crabro (European hornet), 310 nucleotides long. RefSeq lists it as uncharacterized. The transcript has 3 exons. The record is from RefSeq and is a predicted model, not a curated record. NCBI's taxonomy places the organism in Eukaryota, Metazoa, Arthropoda, Insecta, Hymenoptera, Vespidae.
GCUGCAGAGUCGGCGCCGUUCUGCUUUUCGAGUUUGGAUAUCGACGUGACCCACUAAGACUUCUCUUCCCUCAAACUAUCCAGCUACGUAUUCCGGUCGCGUGUAAGACCAACGUUAGCCUCCUUAACUUGUCAGGGCCGAUCGGUAAGAAUAAGAAGAACGAAGAAAGAUUUCUCAUCGAACAAAUUGGAAACAAAGAUGUGAUAUAUGUUCUACGAUAUAGUAAUGGAUCAAAGUGAUUCAACAUUUUUAUAUAAUCGCAAACCAUUUCGAGAAUACUAAGUAAUGAGUGAGUAAAAUCAUAUUUUCU